GCUGGCGGUAGGCUUAACACAUGCAAGUCGUGCGAGAAAGUAUCUUCGGAUAUGAGUAGAGCGGCGGACGGGUGAGUAACGCGUAGGAAUCUACCUAGUAGAAGGGGAUAGCCCGGGGAAACUCGGAUUAAUACCGUAUACCUCCUUUGGGAGAAAGAGGGCCUCUCUUGAUGCUCUCGCUAUUAGAUGAGCCUGCGUAAGAUUAGCUAGUUGGUAAGGUAAUGGCUUACCAAGGCUACGAUCUUUAGCUGGUCUGAGAGGACGAUCAGCCACAUUGGGACUGAGACACGGCCCAGACUCCUACGGGAGGCAGCAGUGGGGAAUAUUGGACAAUGGGCGCAAGCCUGAUCCAGCCAUACCGCGUGUGUGAAGAAGGCCUUCGGGUUGUAAAGCACUUUAAGCAGGGAGAAAAAGCUAUAAGUUAAUACCUUAUAGCCUUGAUGUUACCUGCAGAAUAAGCACCGGCUAAUUCCGUGCCAGCAGCCGCGGUAAUACGGAAGGUGCAAGCGUUAAUCGGAAUUACUGGGCGUAAAGCGCGCGUAGGUGGUUUGUUAAGUUGGAUGUGAAAGCCCUGGGCUCAACCUAGGAACUGCAUCCAAAACUAACUCACUAGAGUACGAUAGAGGGAGGUAGAAUUCAUAGUGUAGCGGUGGAAUGCGUAGAUAUUAUGAAGAAUACCAGUGGCGAAGGCGGCCUCCUGGAUCUGUACUGACACUGAGGUGCGAAAGCGUGGGUAGCGAACAGGAUUAGAUACCCUGGUAGUCCACGCCGUAAACGAUGACAACUAGCUGUUGGGAGACAAUGUCUUUCAGUGGCGCAGCUAACGUUUUAAGUUGUCCGCCUGGG
This 846-nucleotide ribosomal RNA is filed under the name uncultured Gammaproteobacteria bacterium. RNAcentral's name for it is "bacterial SSU rRNA". It matches the Rfam family "Bacterial small subunit ribosomal RNA", at positions 35 to 877 of the family's 1533-position model. The record is from RNAcentral. Lineage: Bacteria; Pseudomonadati; Pseudomonadota; Gammaproteobacteria.